CCAAUAGCGUAUAUUAAAGUUGUUGCAGUUAAAAAGCUCGUAGUUGAAUUUCGGGAUCAAGGAAUCGGUCAUGCCUUGGUAUGUACUGGUUUUAUUGGUUCUCACCUUCUAAAGAACCAUAAUGUCAUUUAUUUGAUGUUAUGGGGAAUUAGGACUGUUACCUUGAAAAAAUUAGAGUGUUUAAAGCAAGCUUACGCUUGAAUACAUUAGCAUGGAAUAAUGAAAUAGGACAUCCGAUUCUAUUUUGUAGGUUUCUAGGAUCGAUGUAAUGAUUAAUAGGGAUAGUUGGGGGCAUUAGUAUUCAAUUGUCAGAGGUGAAAUUCUUGGAUUUAUUGAAGACUAACUACUGCGAAAGCAUUUGCCAAGGAUGUUUUCAUUAAUCAAGAACGAAAGUUAGGGGAUCGAAGACGAUCGGAUACCGUCGUAGUCUUAACCAUAAACUAUGCCGACUAGGGAUCGGAUGAUGUUAAUUUUUUAAUGACUCAUUCGGCGCCUUACG
This 499-nucleotide ribosomal RNA is filed under the name uncultured Glomeromycotina. Its description in RNAcentral is "partial small subunit ribosomal RNA". It matches the Rfam family "Eukaryotic small subunit ribosomal RNA", at positions 591 to 1092 of the family's 1831-position model. Lineage: Eukaryota; Fungi; Glomeromycota. The record is from RNAcentral.